UCGGUCUCUCUCUCAUUCACGCACGCAAAUCUUUCGCCUUUUACUAAAGAUUUCCGUGGAGGGAACUGUUGACGACGGUUCUUCUUAUUUUUUGAAGGCUCUGCCACGGCAGAGCU
Colossoma macropomum (tambaqui) is the source of this 116-nucleotide small nuclear RNA. RefSeq annotates it as U5 spliceosomal RNA. The record is from RefSeq and is a predicted model, not a curated record. The transcript has a single exon. Lineage: Eukaryota; Metazoa; Chordata; Actinopteri; Characiformes; Serrasalmidae.